Molecule: long non-coding RNA, 948 nt
Filed under: Monodelphis domestica (gray short-tailed opossum)
Lineage: Eukaryota; Metazoa; Chordata; Mammalia; Didelphimorphia; Didelphidae
Description: lncRNA (ENSMODG00000037952.1)
Source: RNAcentral
UAAUGUGUUCUGAAGUAUUUUGAAGGGUAACUCAGAAAGAGGAAGCACCCAUUUUAUUUUCUCCUUUGAAAUUACAACUUUCUCUUAACUGACGAAUAAUACAGGUGCUUUAUAAUUGAAGCUUUUUCAAGGUCCUGAAAACAAGUUAAAGAAGUUUUAAUGACAACACUUUCAUUAAAUAUGUAUUACUUUUAUAGAUACUUGUGAGAAACUACUUUCCAAUAUUUAAUCAUGUUCUCCUUCCUCUUCUAUUUCUUUAUCUCCCAAAGUGGAAACAUCAUUCGAGUCAUUACCACCACCCUCUUCUUCCCCCAAAUCAUCAUUUUUACUACCAUUCAUAUUGUUUUAUAAACAACAUUUUUUAAAUUCAAGCACAAUGGACUUGGUAGAGAUUUUGUCCCAAGUGGUUUUGAUCCAGUUCCCUAAUACAGUGACUGAUGGUUUCUUUAUUUUUCUUGAUGGAGUAAAUUCUUUCUGGUUUCUGGCCAAUGUCCACUCAAUAUAUUCUUUCUUCAAAUAAUCUUUGAAUGACUUAUUAAUUAUUACAUCUAACACUUGUAAUUGUGAUGUCAUUCCUUCCAGAACAACAACUAGGUCCAUGCACAUUUUUCAGCAAUUCUCUUUGUCACAUUUUCAGUCAGGUGACCCUUGAACAUACGAGCAUAUGCAGUAAUGCACCUGGACAUCUAUCCCAGACCACAUUCAACCAAACUAACACAAGUUCUUAAUUCAUCCAUCCCUUUUCCUGCACAUGGAAGAUCACUCCUGAUGGUAUAUCCCUCCAGCCAUAGAACCCUGCCAUAUGCCAGAGAAGUAUCUUUAAUCAAAACAAAUCAACAUCUGACAAUAUAUGUCUUAUGAAACACAUCUAUUUCACCAGCUUACUUCUGGGAGGAAGAGUUUUUCACCAUUGGUCCUUUGGAGGUAAGAUUGGACCAAUCUGAAUUC